Molecule: ribosomal RNA, 252 nt
Filed under: uncultured bacterium
Lineage: Bacteria
Description: partial 16S ribosomal RNA
Rfam family: Bacterial small subunit ribosomal RNA
Source: RNAcentral
UACGGAGGAUGCGAGCGUUAUCCGGAUUUAUUGGGUUUAAAGGGUGCGCAGGCGGUCUGUUAAGUCAGCGGUCAAAGCCCGGGGCUCAACCCCGGCCCGCCGUUGAAACUGGCAGUCUCGAGUUGGAGAGAAGCAUGCGGAAUGCGCGGUGUAGCGGUGAAAUGCAUAGAUAUCGCGCAGAACUCCGAUUGCGAAGGCAGCAUGCCGGCUCCACACUGACGCUGAGGCACGAAAGCGUGGGUAUCGAACAGG